CAAAAACAUGGCGUUUUGAUAAUAAUUUAAGGUCUGGCCUGCCCAAUGAGUAAUUAAAUGGCCGCGGUAUUUUGACCGUGCAAAGGUAGCAUAAUCAUUAGUUUUUUAAUUGAAAGCUAGAAUGAAUGGUCGGACGAGAAAAUAACUGUCUCAAUGUAAUUUUGUUAGAACUUUAUUUUUAAGUAAAAAAGCUUAAAUGAAUUUAAAAGACGAGAAGACCCUAUAGAGUUUUAUAUGUUAGUAUAUGUUUAUUUUUUAGUAUUUUGAUGUUGAUAUUUAUUUGCGUAUUUUGUUGGGGUGACGGAAAAAUUAGUUAAACUUUUUUUUGAAUUUAAACAUUGAUUUAUGAUUGGUUGAUCCAUUAUUUAUGAUUAUAAGAUUAAAUUACCUUAGGGAUAACAGCGUAAUUUUUUUUGAGAGUUCUUAUCGAUAAAAGAGUUUGCGACCUCGAU
RNAcentral lists this ribosomal RNA (452 nucleotides) under Propomacrus davidi. RNAcentral describes it as "partial 16S ribosomal RNA". It matches the Rfam family "Bacterial large subunit ribosomal RNA", at positions 1808 to 2530 of the family's 2925-position model. The record is from RNAcentral. Lineage: Eukaryota; Metazoa; Arthropoda; Insecta; Coleoptera; Glaphyridae.